This is a long non-coding RNA of Ixodes scapularis (black-legged tick), 542 nucleotides long. RefSeq lists it as uncharacterized. Lineage: Eukaryota; Metazoa; Arthropoda; Arachnida; Ixodida; Ixodidae. The record is from RefSeq and is a predicted model, not a curated record. The transcript is spliced from 4 exons.
AAAGGCCAGCCUCAUCGCCGUUUCCAUCGAGUAAUGGCGCCAUAAUGGAAAACAGCGCAAAAGGGACAGGACACAAAGUAGAAGAAGGACACAGGACAUACGCUGACUAACAACCAAAGGUGAAGCCCUCGGACGCAUUUGAGAUUCUCACUUCUCUUGCCUCGGUACGAGAUCUCUUCAGUUCGCUCCAGAGCGACCUGACACUGGGCGUGAGCAGCGCGGCAUUGAAGACGUGCUUUUUGGGUGCCACGGAACUUCUUGCAGACGUUGGAUGUCACCUGAGGUGCCUGGAUGCUCAAGCAGCAAGGUCCAACAACAUGGCGGGGCUCUUCACCGACCUGUCCCACUGGCCAGACCUAAUGCAGAGGAAGCAAGACGUCAUUAACACCGAAGAGAAACUGGCUGCCCUGAAGAAGACCAUAGCAGGGCAGCUUGGGCUCCUCACCUUUGACUACAAGACUGUCAGCGGAAUGCCGUAUCUGAUUGAGGUACCGACCCGGCGGCUGUCAUCAGUUCCUUCCAACUGGCUCAAGAUCAGCUCG